UAUGCAACACAGUCUGGGAGCAAGAUAGAGUGUGAGAAACGGAGAGACAGGGUGCGGCCAACCACCACCUCCGGUGGCGGAGCCAUGACGGAUCUGUCGGCGUCUUCUCAGCAUCGGGGAGUGUUGUACCCCUACCUACAGAGCAGAAGACAAGGAAUCCGGUGAGGCGGUGCGAGCUAGGGUUCUGACGAGACUCCGGUUAACUCCUGCAUGAAUUCCGGCCUCCGGUUAAGCUCCGACGACUUCUCCGAUUACCGAUCUGGGUCUGCAUGUUGUUAAAUCUUAAUUCUUAAAGAUCAGUGGAUGACCCGUAUCCGGAAGUCAGCGUGGGUACAAAGGACGGAUGGCAACAGUGGUUGCUGGAACUUAUCUUGAUUCAAGAACUGAUAUGGGUGUUUGUUUGAUAGAUCUUAGUCAGCUGAAAGCUUAAGUUUUUUCAAGAAAAUUGAUCAAGAUGGUGAGAGGGAAGACUCAAAUGAGGAGAAUGCUAAAGUUGCUUUGAUCAUCUUCUCUCCAAGAGGGCUUUAGCCUCGUCUCUUUAGAUCAAGUGCAAGAGAGCUUCUUUAGAUUCAUGUGCAAGAGUGACAAAAAUAAAAUAAACUAGCAAAAACGGAGUUUUAAGGGUCGUACUGCUCAUCAUUUUACUUGCAGCACUUUUAUAUUAUGUCAAAAGUGAGGGUUUGCUUCUGUACAACAUGCAUAAAUUUUGCCUCUCAAAUCUCAUGACUACAAUUGUAUAACCAGUCUAUUAGAGUUUGUUAGGAAUAUUAUAAAUGACAUAAACAAAUUUGUAUUUAUUGGUUUCAAGUAUGUAGCUAAAUAGAAAUAUGAAAUAUAGUUGGUUCGGAACAGUUUGGUUGAUU
This 863-nucleotide long non-coding RNA is filed under the name Helianthus annuus (common sunflower). RNAcentral describes it as "sRNA HanXRQr2_Chr07g0310851". The record is from RNAcentral. Lineage: Eukaryota; Viridiplantae; Streptophyta; Magnoliopsida; Asterales; Asteraceae.